UACUCCGCCUGGAGUACGUCGCAAGAGUGAACUCAAAGAAUGACGGGACCCGCACAAGCAGCGGAGCAUGUGGUUUAAUUCGAAGCAACGCGAAGAACCUUACCUAAACUUGACAUCCCUUGGACCGCUCCUUAAUCGGAGCCUUCCCUUCGGGGACUGAGGUGACAGGUGGUGCAUGGUUGUCGUCAGCUCGUGUCGUGAGAUGUUGGGUUAAGUCCCGCAACGAGCGCAACCCUUGCCUUUAGUUGCCAUCAUUAAGUUGGGCACUCUAGAGGGACUGCCGAGGAUAACUCGGAGGAAGGUGGGGAUGACGUCAAAUCAUCAUGCCCCUUAUGUUUAGGGCUACACACGUGCUACAAUGGCUGGUACAGAGGGCUGCGAAACCGUGAGGUUAAGCCAAUCCCUUAAAGCCAGUCUCAGUUCGGAUUGUAGGCUGAAACUCGCCUACAUGAAGCUGGAGUUGCUAGUAAUCGCGGAUCAGAAUGCCGCGGUGAAUGCGUUCCCGGGUCUUGUACACACCGCCCGUCACACCACGGGAGUCGGGGGCACCCGAAGCCAGCUUUCUAACCUUUUGGAAGAAGCUGUCGAAGGUGAAAUCGAUGACUGGGGUGAAGUCGUAACAAGGUAGCCGUA
This 633-nucleotide ribosomal RNA is filed under the name uncultured bacterium. RNAcentral describes it as "bacterial SSU rRNA". It matches the Rfam family "Bacterial small subunit ribosomal RNA", at positions 865 to 1504 of the family's 1533-position model. The record is from RNAcentral.